AAAAUCAUCAGCAUUUUAUGUAUUGAGAUUAUUAAUAUUGAAUGCAAUAGUUAUUGGAUAUAGCUGGUAAUUAUUCUGCCAUGCAUACUUACAAUAAUCCUUCUACCUCUCACUCUUAACAUGGGCUAUGAAACUUCAGUAUAAAUAGAGGAAAUGAUUAUUUACAGGAUAUCCCAGGAAGCAUUAUUUUGGGACUUUCAUAACAGUGUACUCCCUACCCCCUGGGAAAUCUCAAAAGCCAAUUUCUUGUAGUGUAUUCUAUGGUGUAUGGAUCUGCGUUUGUUUUUCUUCUCUAUCAUUAACUUUUCCUGUAGGCAAAAUAUGAUAACUUGAUAAGUAUAGUUCUUCUCAUGCCUAUUUAAUAUUUAACUGUAAUGUAAUUGUGAUUUUUAAAAAUAAUUUAAAUGGCAACACUUUGCAAUCCAACCUGAUAUUUCAUUUAAUUUUUAAAAUGUAACAAUUUCUUAUAAACCAAUGCUAUUCUAAGUGAAAAUCAUGCACAUGAUUUUUUUCUGAGAAGGUUUAUCUAUAUAAGACAAAAGUUUAAAUAUUUUAAAACUGCCUUCUAUUAACCAAUAAUCCCAAGUAAUGCAAAGUAUUGCCACAAAUGCCCUCUUUAUUUUGCCUGCAUAGGCACAAUAUGAAUUUUUUAAUGAUGUAAUUUAAUUAUCAUAAUGAAAAUGCCAUUUUGUGAUCAUAUUUUCCUCUAAGGGAAAAAAAGAAUACAUACAGUUCUCAAAGUCUGAUGGUGAAUCCAUAAAAUAUGCUUAAAAUUAAAAUCGGAUGUUUCUAUGUUAUAUGGUUAUGUUACAAAUAGUUUUUGGUCCAAUCUUUACCAUCUUUUUCAUAUAAAUAUAUUUCUUGUACAUAUAUAUAUAUAUAUAUAUAUAUAUAUAUAUACACACACACACAUACAUACAUACACACAAAUAUACAUACAUAUAGACAGACAGACAGACACACAUACACACACACAGACACACACACAUAUAUGUACAAGAAAUGAGUAUUGGAGAGAAUGGGCCCAAAUGUGAAAAAGAUGUAAAGAAAAAACCCCACUAUUUUCCCCUCUGAAAUAUACUGUAUAUUUCAAAAGAAGUAACGUUAAAACAUAUUUGAAGAUUGCAGGGGCAAAAGACAAACCUACCAGGGCUCAGCACUUAAGCACUUUUCCCACAUCCAGGGUCAAAGCAGCAGUGAUUCCUACAUGAACUUUGAAGUGCAGUAUGAAAUGCAACAUUACACUUAUACACAGUACUGUCAAACCUCAAAUGCUUUCUUUCUUUAGAUGUUUUUUCUUGUACAUGAUAUUAGUAAACACUUUUCUCUUUAUAUUUGCUGGUAGUGAAAGUCAUACGCAAUAAAAUAUUGAUGAUGGUUGAAAGCAAUGGUCACUAAUCGGUUUAAAAAAACUAUAAAAUGUAAACAGAAUUGUUAUAUCUUUCUCCUGUUUGCUUUUCACUGUGUUUCUGAUGUGUUGAAUGAAUCUCAUGAAAGGAAAGAAAAAUAAUCUAGAAAUUUUUCAAAGCUGGUAAUAUUAAUCCUUAUAAAUGUAUAAAAUUUUAAUCUUUUUACAAAUUUAUUUAACUGUACCUGCUGUACUUAUUGUAGAUUCAAUGAUGCAGUUAAGUAGUAGUAACCCAAGGAUUUAUGAGUUUUGGAUUGCUGAUCUAUUUUCUUCAUAUUCAGUUCACAUCAGUAUUUGUGAAUUGGUUGUUUAGCUUUUCAUUCAACCAAAAAAUAUUCCCUCAAGAAAGCUCCAUUUUUAUCAUAAAUAUUUCAACAUAAUCAACCUUGGUACAAGUCUGCCAUGUUAAAAAGAAUUUAAAGACUUAUCUCUGAAAAUGAUACCCAGAAAUGCAGGUGUUCCCAGUAAUGUAGCUUCAAAAAUAAAAUGUUCUAUUUAUAUGACAUGAAAUUCAUAACUUUUGGAAGGGUAUAUUUAUGACAGCAUAAACAAUAAAUUCUGUGCUGUAAAGAACACCCACCAAAAUUAAUCAUAUUGCACAGAAAAUCAACACAAUUAUUGAAUCUACUUUUGUCAUUAACAUUUUCAGAAAACAAAAUGCAUAUUGUAAUAUUAAGUACAUGACACUUGCAUGUUGAUAUGCCUAUAUACUUACAAAGUAUUCAAUGUGUACUUAGUGGCGCUUAAAAUAUGUCAUGUACAACUCUUAUAAAACAUUCUUACAGGGUUCCCAUUUGCACUUCAUCUUUCAGUAAAGUCUUGUCAGAAAAAAUAUUUGUCUGAUAAAUAUGGAAAAAUAAAAUUUGAAUUUUAGUUAUCUGUUGGACAUUACUGAAUUGUCUAUUCAUUUAGUAUAUGUUUUAGGCUUGAACAUAGACAUUGAAAGAUGGAACUUUCUUUUUUCCAGUGACAACUUAUAAAAGAUGCUACAAAACGUAUAUCUUAUGGCAAACACAUUAUUUUGAAUACUUCUUUCCACUGCAUACAUUAUCCAUCCUUUUUUAGGUUUCCUCAAAGAUGCCCAUUUUUUCUUGUACUUUUCUAAAGGGACAUUAUAAAAAUUAAACAUGGUAAAAUAAAUGUUUUCUUAUUUGUACAACAUUCGUUACUCCUUGAAAUAUAUGAACCUUGUAAUAUGCUGAUUAAGGGUUAAAAAAGUGUUGCUGACUUAGGGAAAUUUGCUUGAGAUUGCCAAAAUUUCAAAAUUCUGUAAAAG
This 2684-nucleotide long non-coding RNA is filed under the name Marmota monax (woodchuck). Lineage: Eukaryota; Metazoa; Chordata; Mammalia; Rodentia; Sciuridae. The record is from RNAcentral.